This 222-nucleotide unclassified non-coding RNA is filed under the name Hevea brasiliensis (rubber tree). The record is from RNAcentral. Lineage: Eukaryota; Viridiplantae; Streptophyta; Magnoliopsida; Malpighiales; Euphorbiaceae.
GCACUGUAUGAGCCCUUGGAUGGACAAGGGGGUAGAGAAUCCUAGAAUGCUUAGUAUAACCAGUUGGGCAUCCCCUUCAAAAAUGACUUUAGAGAAAUGCUUCUCUACAAACCAUGCUUUCCAAGAUUUUUGCAUAUCCAUCCCGUUAGUUGCCCUUGAGAAUUCCUUGCAACAGCUGCUAUUGAACCCAUGUUGUCAUGCUUGCUAACCCCUGCAUCAAAG